UACGUAGGGUGCAAGCGUUGUCCGGAAUUAUUGGGCGUAAAGAGCUCGUAGGCGGUUCGUCGCGUCGGCUGUGAAAUCCCGGAGCUCAACUCCGGGUCUGCAGUCGAUACGGGCGGACUCGAGUUCGGCAGGGGAGACUGGAAUUCCUGGUGUAGCGGUGAAAUGCGCAGAUAUCAGGAGGAACACCGGUGGCGAAGGCGGGUCUCUGGGCCGAUACUGACGCUGAGGAGCGAAAGCGUGGGGAGCAAACAGG
Molecule: ribosomal RNA, 253 nt
Filed under: uncultured bacterium
Lineage: Bacteria
Description: partial 16S ribosomal RNA
Rfam family: Bacterial small subunit ribosomal RNA
Source: RNAcentral